RNAcentral lists this ribosomal RNA (301 nucleotides) under uncultured bacterium. RNAcentral's name for it is "partial 16S ribosomal RNA". It matches the Rfam family "Bacterial small subunit ribosomal RNA", at positions 509 to 807 of the family's 1533-position model. The record is from RNAcentral.
CAGUAGCCGCGGUAAAACGUAGGGUACGAGCGUUAAUCGGAAUUACUGGGCGUAAAGCGUGCGUAGGCGGUUCGUUAAGUCUGUUGUGAAAGCCCCGGGCUCAACCUGGGAAUGGCAAUGGAUACUGGCGAGCUAGAGUGUGUCAGAGGAUGGUGGAAUUCCCGGUGUAGCGGUGAAAUGCGUAGAGAUCGGGAGGAACAUCAGUGGCGAAGGCGGCCAUCUGGGACAACACUGACGCUGAGGCACGAAAGCGUGGGGAGCAAACAGGAUUAGAGACCCCAGUAGUCCCUGUCUCUUAUAC